Molecule: ribosomal RNA, 395 nt
Filed under: uncultured bacterium
Lineage: Bacteria
Description: bacterial SSU rRNA
Rfam family: Bacterial small subunit ribosomal RNA
Source: RNAcentral
UAAUACGUAGGGUGCAAGCGUUAAUCGGAAUUACUGGGCGUAAAGCGUGCGCAGGCGGUUAUGCAAGACAGAUGUGAAAUCCCCGGGCUCAACCUGGGAACUGCAUUUGUGACUGCAUGGCUAGAGUACGGCAGAGGGGGAUGGAAUUCCGCGUGUAGCAGUGAAAUGCGUAGAUAUGCGGAGGAACACCGAUGGCGAAGGCAAUCCCCUGGGCCUGUACUGACGCUCAUGCACGAAAGCGUGGGGAGCAAACAGGAUUAGAUACCCUGGUAGUCCACGCCCUAAACGAUGUCAACUGGUUGUUGGGAGGGUUUCUUCUCAGUAACGUAGCUAACGCGUGAAGUUGACCGCCUGGGGAGUACGGCCGCAAGGUUGAAACUUAAAUGAAUUGACGG